AAUGAAGAAGCUGGCUGUCACAUCAAAUUGUCGCCAGAAUUAUGUUAUAUGCAUUAUGAAUCAGUGUAGAGAAUUCAACAUAUGUUGGCAGCCUGCUUCUUCCCUUCUCUCUUUUCCUAGAGGUACCUCAUUA
Non-coding RNA from Caenorhabditis elegans, 133 nucleotides. The record is from Ensembl. Lineage: Eukaryota; Metazoa; Nematoda; Chromadorea; Rhabditida; Rhabditidae.